UACUGUAACUCAGAAAGCAAGUACCAAAUGGAUAAGCACAAAGAUGACAUACAGAGGACUACAUGACAGCGCUCCAUGUAGAAGAAACAGGAAGAUGCAACUUGCAACUUCCUUCUGGAAUUUACUGCCACGGGAGAUCAUUAAUUCAAGAACUGCGUCCAGAUUUUUUAAGCAGCCAGCAAUAAAUCUCUAGCAAAAGAGAAUACGUAAGACAUCUCAGCUGCAGCCCCCCAACAUGCCCAACGUGCUUCUCCUUGGUACCUGCUGUGAAUUCACAGGAAUGUACAAACUCUGGGUGCUUUCUUGUUGCCAAGGGAACUUAAUGUCUGAGAUAUUUGUAUUUUACACACUGGAUUCUCC
RNAcentral lists this long non-coding RNA (360 nucleotides) under Phasianus colchicus (ring-necked pheasant). RNAcentral's name for it is "lncRNA (ENSPCLG00000020334.1)". Lineage: Eukaryota; Metazoa; Chordata; Aves; Galliformes; Phasianidae. The record is from RNAcentral.